UCCUAGCCAUUUUUCUAGACCUACUUAAUGUUUUUAGUGGUUGGUGAAUUUAUUUUAUCAGUCUACUUUGAAAAAUGUGUUAACAAUUUUCUGGUUUUCUGCACUUUGUUUAAUAUCCACUGUUUUCAGUUUUUUUUUUCAAAUUUCUCCCUGCUUAUUUGGUGCAGGAUCUCAUGUGAGAGCUUUCAAAUUGCUAGAGGCUGUUUCAGUUGCCUUGUUAAAUACUUGUCCUCCUGAGUCAUUGUGUUGUGCUACUCUCACUGUUUUAUGUGCUUGUGUUGAAGGCAUAGCCAGCCGCCAAUCACUCAGAUGAUUACCCAUACAGCUGGUCUGUACCUCCUUAUCAUCCUCCCUCUUUCAAAUAUGAUAAUAGGAAGGUCAGUGUUUGCCUUGACUGCUGCCGUGUCUCCCUAGUCUACAGAUGCUCUGGUCAUGUAUGACUUAAAUGAAUGUUUGUAUAUUUAAUGGGUACUAUUCAGUAUAGUGAAUGGAUUCAAUUCAGUAUACAAACAUUCAUUUAAAGCUGGAAUCCUUAAUGGUGAAACUGCCACGUCCGUUUGCCAUAUUACAACAAAGAAGUUAUUGCAAACAGUAGUUAAUUGUGUAGAUACUCCUCUAAGAAAACCAGGGUUUCCAUUAGCCGGUACUAGCCGGGUUUUGGACAAUAUUUUUUUAUAUUUUUUAUGUAUUGUUGAAAAGCUGAUAAAUAAAAUUGCUGCCAGUCAAUUGUCCACCGGGAGAGGAAAAAGCCCAUUGCGAAAUGCUUUUAAGCCUAUUAAUUGAUGUAAAUACCAGUGGAUGUAAAUACAUUUGACUGGUCAUGUGUAUCGGUCUACAGGUUAAUUUGCAUAAUUUGGUGGAACUAAAUUGGCACAUGUGUACAGUAUAUUUGUUUAUGUCUCUUAUCACGAGUACAGCAUACACAUACAGAGCCUUUGAGUGGAAUAUCUGUCAGACAGAGCAAGAGCUGCUGCUACAGCAUCUCAAACAGCAAAUGCAUAGACAACAGAAGGCAGGCUUCAUCAGCGCAUCACACACACGACUUUGCAAUGAGCUGGAGGCAGCAUACAUUUUGAAAACAUAUACUUAAUUGUUUGAAACCUGAACAUUUUACUGCAUAUUAUGAGGCAUAUCUUACCUUGCUUUAAAGAAGUCUUGCCAACAUCGGACUAUCAGUGGAGGCAAUUAUUUUAUAUCAACUUUAUUUCAUUGUCCAGUAGCCAAAGGCACAAUCUGUGUCAUAUUAGCAACCCAUGCUAGUUGUUGCAUCAUCUCUGUCACAUGAAACCGCAGGCAUGUGCGGUGUGCUUUUAACACUUUGUCCUGCUAAUUGCAUUAUGGUACUAGCAUUCACGUGAAGCCUACUGCCUUGUGUGUAUUGCUGAACUUUAUAAUGUGAAUAAUAGUUUAUCAACAUUUUUAAAUGAAUGUUCUGAUCUGUUGCAUAAUACUCUUUUUUUUCUUUUUAACUUUUUUUUGUUUAUGUAGCCUAGGCCUGGUUAUAUGAAUUUGGGAUCUAUCGUCCCACAGCUGUCCCAAAGUCUGUUCGGAAUAGGCUUUCUUUCUCGACAAGCGCACCAAUAGUAUAGGUAAACUUUUCUACUAUGGGGGCUAGUGAUUUUGCUGUUCGUUAGUCUUGUUAGCUGAGGAAAAGUAAAUGUGGACAGUUCUAACAUCUUCAAAGUGCACAUCAGAAUUUGUUAACAAGGACCACAAAUCGUUGCAUCUUCCAUUUGCAUGUUCUGUUAAUAAGAAUGACGUUAAACUAAAUGUGAUUUAUGUCAUUCUUCGCACUGGGUAGAGGCCCUAAUCAGGUUACUCACCCAAUGCCCUUGGGUCCGGUACAUUUUCAAAUGUCUGCUGAAUUAAAAUUCUGCUGGUCAAAUGUCCGGUGCCACAUUUUCCAAAUUGAAACCCUAGUGGAUACUGUAAAACAGCAAAGCACUUUUUUUCCCCCUUGGACAUCAUUGCACAGCAAUAGAACAGCAGAAUAUGGACUGCAUUUUUUUUAUUUAUUUUAUUUUAUUUACCACAUUGCGCAAGGCUUGUCAUCACUUUUUCAACAAAAACAACAUUGGUAGGGUGGACAGUGGCGCUGUUUCUUCCUACUGCGGAUUCCAUCUUUAAGAUAUAAUAAUAAUAUAAUAAUAUAUGCCAUUUAGCAGACGCUUUUAUCCAAAGCGACUUACAGUCAUGUGUGCAUACAUUCUACGUAUGGGUGGUCCCGGGGAUCGAACCCACUACCCUGGCGUUACAAGCGCCAUGCUCUACCAACUGAGCUACAGAAGGACGGCUAAAGAUGCUUCUGCCUGCCCUUUUUGAGCCAUCUCUCUGUGUAAUACUCAAACUGCUUAUCGUAAGAUGUUUUUUCUGUGCAUUUUCACAUUCAUACAUGUAAAAUGUUGUUUAGCUAAAGAAAAUGUUGUUUUGUUUAGGUUUGCAAGGGCAUUGAUGGCCAACUGCAUGUCAACCUGCUGUGCUCGGUGAAUGUGUCAGAACCCCCUCUAGGGACACUACCAUACAUGGAGAGCACAGAGGCUGUCAGACUGCUCAAGUCCACAAGGGAUUCUGAGAAGCACUUAUUUCUGGCUGUUGGAUUCCACAAACCUCACAUUCCUUUCAGAAUCCCACAGGUACCGCACCUGCAGCUGCCCUUAUUUUCAGACAUGGACUUUUUAACUGUGCAAUCAGAUGGCAUUAAUGAGCAAGUAUGAUUCCCCCAAUAGAAUGAUCAGGCUCUCCAACCCUGUCCCUGCAGCGCUACCGGCCUAUAGGUUUUUGCUCCAACACUAUUCAAGCGCACCUGAUUCUAAUAAAUGGCUGAUGAUAAGCUGAAUCGGGUUAGUUACAACUGGGGUUGGGGUGAACCUACAGGAGGGUAUCACUCCAGAAACAGGGUUGGAGAGCCCUAAUGUAGAUGGUAUGAUUUGUUAACUGAUGAAAGGCUUUGCCAAUUGCCUAACAAACUUUGUGUGUAUUAGGAGUUCUUGAAGCACUACCCCCUGGAUAAGAUUACCCUGAUGUUCCUAAAGGCCUCCCCAGCAUGACCUACAAUCCCUGGACUGACAUUAGGAAGAUGUUCAAGCUCUGAAGAUCAGCUUCCCAUAUGAACCAAUACCAAAGGAAUUCCAGGUUGAUUAUACAUGCACACUCUUGGGGGAAAAAAGUGCUAUCUAGAACCUAAAAGGGUUCUUCGGCUGUCCCCAAAGGAGAACCCUUUGAAGAGCCGUUUUUGGUUUCAUACCACAUACUAUUAAUAUUUGUGUUAGUGACUCAGCAUCAGAAGUUAUGUCAAGACACUCUCAUUAUAGAAUAUAUAUUGUUUAUUAUAAAUCCAGAGUUAAAAAUCUGUUUCGGUCAGAGACCUUCAUCAGACAAUGUUUGUGACUCAGCUCUAGAUUCGACAGCACUAUUAUGUCUCUGUGAUAUACCUGGACUCCCAAGUGGGCAUGUUGUCAAAUACUCUGGAUGAUCUGGGCCUGGCUAAAGACAAUGAUGUGCUCUUUACUUCAGACCAUUGGAAAAGUAAUUUGUCCAUAUAGCCCAGUCCUAAACUGGGCUGGGUUCAGUAUGAAAAAAAAUGGUGUGCAGUGUUCAGUUAAAUAGAAACGUUGCUGUUCUGAAUGACAAGUUGAAAAACGGGGAGGAGUUGGGUCGUGGGUUGGUAUGACGAUUCAAAAUACACCGCUGCCCUUUAAAUACGUCACUCAUUGCUCCAAGCCGCACCCCACCACACACACCAAACGGAGCAAACGUACCUCAAAAUUUGUUAAAAGAACGUGGGAGAACAUGUCAUUCAGUACAAACCGUCAUGCAAUGUACCAAGCGUUUAAUCAAACUGAACGAACCCCUAGUGUCUGUAAUGGUUUGUUAAUGGCAGUGCUUGAGGUACUCUUUAGCCACUAGAUGGGGGUGUGAGAACAUCAAAAUUCUGCCUUCACCUUCCUGAGUUGACAAAGAUUUACUUCACCAGCUUGGAUCCAUUCAUAGCAUAUAUCAGUCCCUCCAGGAUUCUAUGAUCAUGUUUUUUUUUUUGAAAAAUCAACAAUUCCCUCCAUAUUAUGCGAGAGCUUGCAAAUUUGAACAAUCACUGCACUUCUGCAUUAAAAAAAGUCAAAUCAUCGCAUAAAACUGACCCAUCACCACAGUUUAUAAAGAGGGCAUGCAAUUUCAACCAAUCACCUCUAAUUUACCACAUAAUAUGGUUCAAUCAAGCCACACGUCAAGAAAUGUUUUCCCUCGUCAGCGCAUUUCUACAACAAAUUGGACAAAAUCAUUGCAUAUUACCGUGCAAAAUGUCAGAAUUUUUGCCUACAAAUAUCACAAAAAAUCCCUGCUGAAUUCCUGGAGGGACUGAUAUGUUGUCUUGACUAUGAACUGUAGGUUGAUUUAAAGGAGCAUCGUAUGUAAAAUGAGUUAUUGUUACAUGUUUUUUAUUCCAUGCCUGUAUGUUGCAUACCAUGGCCAAUAAUACAUUUUAUGUUGUCCGAUUGCUUAAUUACAUUGUCAUUUUUGUAAAAUAUGAUUCCUUUCUCUUAAAGGAUGGUCACUUGGGUAGCAUGGGGAAUGGGCCAAAUACAGCAACUUUGACGUGGCCACUCGCCUUCCCCUAAUGUUCUACGUACCAGGUGUGACUGCAGUCCGCCAGGGGAUGAGAUCUUUCCCUACAUAGAUGUGUUUGGUCCAGCACAGCAUCACUUUACACAAGGACAGAUGGUGCAAGAGAAGUUUGUUCUCUACUAUGUGACAUUGUUAUUCCCAGUUCUGUUGAUGGAUUGUGACUAUCUCACUCUCACUGGAGGAAUGUGAAUGAGCUGCUAGAUGUCUACCCCACAGUGUCUUACCUGGCUGGGCUGAAGCCCCCACACCCCUGUCUUGACAACUCCUUCGACGUGGAUCUCUGUACCCUAGGGAGACAACCUGGCCUACUCCUUCAAGCACCUAGACUACAGCAAGGACUGCAGCCAGUAUCCCAAGGCCCGCAGACCCCCCUCCCCCAGGAGAACUCUGACCUGCCUAACCUGAAGGAAUUCCAGGUGAUGGGCUACUCUGCCCUCCUGAGACUACCGCUUCACCCUGUGGGUGGGUUUUGACCCUGCUAGCUUCCAGACUGACCUGGUGGUCCACGCUGUGGAACUGUACCUCAUGGAGAGAGACCCAGGCCAGGACCACAACCUGUACUCUGCAAGCUGGGCCAGGACCAUCAUCAGCUGAAUACCCUUACCUCAAACACCACCUCUAUGUCACUGCAGAGAUUAAAUCUAAAGGGAUGUCAUGAUAAUGCCUUGUUUCGAUAAUGAACUAUUUAGAAGGGAAGAUCUGAAUUGUUGCUAUAUUCAGAAAGGACUCAACAUUUAAUGAAUAUAUUGAAUGUCCCACAGUUACAAUAAGGGCACUUAAUGUUUGUAGUUAACCGUUAAGAUAUUAGCUGCUGCUAUCAUGGUUAACCUGUAGUAUCUACAGUACAUGGGUUUUUAGGCACACACAUUGUCUUAGCGUGUGCCUAAGAUAAAAAGUGAAAAGGUGUCUGUGGGAGUUAGUGUGCUAAAUUUGAUUGAAUCACAGAUGAGACCAAUAGGGUUAGUUUUGCAAGCAUAAAGAUUUUCUACAGUAAUAAAACAACCUAAGGUUA
Long non-coding RNA from Oncorhynchus keta (chum salmon), 5632 nucleotides. RefSeq lists it as uncharacterized. Lineage: Eukaryota; Metazoa; Chordata; Actinopteri; Salmoniformes; Salmonidae. The transcript is spliced from 2 exons. The record is from RefSeq and is a predicted model, not a curated record.